RNAcentral lists this long non-coding RNA (2012 nucleotides) under Homo sapiens (human). RNAcentral's name for it is "small nucleolar RNA host gene 5". The record is from RNAcentral. Lineage: Eukaryota; Metazoa; Chordata; Mammalia; Primates; Hominidae.
GCUGCGCACUUCGGUCUUUUACGUCGGCCUUCGCGAGCGUCUGGGCGGGUGGUAGGUGAGUGGGUAUUGCGGGCUAGUAUCCGAGCAAAAGAUGGUGGCGCAGGCCGAGUUAAGAGCUUUAAUCCUGUGAAGACAUCUUAGUGAAGAGUUUAGAGUGCUGAGAGUUGAAAGCUUGCACGUGGGAAACGUGCGGCCGGACUGCCACAUGUACUGAGGUUGAGUCGUGACGGCCACAGGCUCCGAGUUUUGGCGUGAGGAACCGCUGAUCGGCCACGGGCGCCGAACUUGCUGGCCUCCGGCAUGUGCCUGAGCGGCGGCGGAAAAACCACCUUAAUUGGGGCGGAGGGUUAGUUUUAACAGCAAAGGGCCUUUACUAAAAUGGCGAAGGCCUUCCGUCGGCGUUGUUUUAAAAUGGGAAGCCUCGACCCUGUAUUGAAACUGAGCUGUUCGAAGGCGGCGUUGUGUGCAAUUCGGAUUAAUGAAGGGGAAGGGUUUUGUGUGGAAAAACGCCUUGGAGUGUGACAUUUCUGCGAGAAUGCUUAAAUACCGAUUUCCCGCAGGAACAAUGGCGCUGUCUUCAGUGGCACAGUGGAGCAGCUCUGAAGAUGCAAAGAUACACGAAAAAACUUCCAGAACAUCUGGGAGAAUAUUUAAUGGAAAAUCGCUUGGUUAAAACCUGACACUUUUAACAGUGAACAGCGUUCUGAGUGUGGACGAGUAGCCAGUGAAGAUAAUGAAUGUCGAAUGUGACUGACUAGCAGCUUCAUUUUGAAUGAGGGUCGCUGUCUGCCCAUUGAUAGAGGCCAGAUUGUCUUGGAAGUUCCAAAGUUGCAACGAUUUCUGGCUAGUGCCACGAGGUUUACUUGACUGUUGUGUGAAAAGCUGAUAAGAAAACCAUCCAGAAAAAAGCUCUUCGUUUUACAAACAUGAAAAUAAAACAUUUAGUUGAAUCCAUGGACAUGAAACCCACAGAUAUAGAGGGUUGGCCCGGUGCAGUGGCUCACGCCUGUAAUCCCAGCACUUUGGGAGGCCAAGGCGGGUGGAUCACCUGAGGUCAGAAGCUUGAGACCAGCCUGGCCAACAUGGUAAAACCCCAUCUCUACUAAUAAUACAAAACAAUUUGCUGGGCAUGGUGGUGCACGCUUGUAAUCCAAGCUACUCCAGAGGCUGAGGCAGAAGAAUCGCUUGAAUCCGAGAGGCAAAGGUUGCAGUGAGCCCAGAUCACACCACUGCUCUCCAACCUGGGCAACAAGAGCAAAACUCCGUCAAAAAAAAAAGAUACAGGGUCAACUGUACACAUUAAACACUUCUAUCAACUAGUGAUGUCAGUCUUGUCCAUUGUAUUAUUGCCUAUCUUACUAAACAGUCAUAUUUCAGGAAGUACAAUAUACUCAAAAACUAAGUUAAUGUUCUUUGUAGAUUUAUGGUUAAUGGAUGAUUCAUAUAAUAGAAACUUAAAUUUAUUUGACCAUUCUAUUUAAUAUAGAAUAAAUACAACUAGCCAGGCAUGGUGGCUCAUGUCUAUAAUGCCAGCACUUGGGGAGGCCAAGGUGGGAGGCUCACUUGAGCAUAGGAAUUCAAGGCCAGCCUGGGCAACACAAUGUGAGACCCGUCUCUAUGAAAAUUUUAAAAAUUAGCCAAGCAUGGUAACACAAGUCUGUGGUCCCAGCUACUUGGGAGGCUGAGGCGCGAGAAGUCCAGGAGGUCAACGCUGCAGUGAGCUGUGUGUGUGCCACUGCAUCCUAGCCUGGGCAACAGAGCAAGACCCUGUCUCAAAAAUAAAGAAUAAAUACAACCUAUUAAGCUUGAGAGAUCCAGUGAAAUCCAAAUAAGAGAAACUGUGUCCUACACAGUUUUCUGUUAACCAUUUUCUUGGUAUUUAAAUUAUUUAUCAAAUUUUAACUUCAAUAAAAAAUUAUUCUGGAGAACACAUACCUCUAGAGUAAGUAAAGUAUACACUUUCAAUUUUUAGACAUGAGGUUUUGAGGUGUUUGACUGUAUCUAAUUUCCUA